UACGUAGGGGGCAAGCGUUGUUCGGAAUUAUUGGGCGUAAAGGGAGUGUAGGCGGCUUGUUAAGUCUUCUGUGAAAUCUACGGGCUCAGCCUGUAACGUGCAGAGGAAACUGGCGAGCUUGAGUGUCGGAGAGGAUAGGGGAAUACCCGGUGUAGAGGUGAAAUUCGUAGAGAUCGGGUGGAACACCAGUGGCGAAGGCGCCUAUCUGGCUGACAACUGACGCUGAGACUCGAAAGCAUGGGGAGCAAACAGG
RNAcentral lists this ribosomal RNA (253 nucleotides) under uncultured bacterium. RNAcentral describes it as "partial 16S ribosomal RNA". It matches the Rfam family "Bacterial small subunit ribosomal RNA", at positions 524 to 776 of the family's 1533-position model. The record is from RNAcentral.